UCAAAAUUUUUAUGUUGAAGCCCCAGUACCACAGAAUGUGACCAUAUUUGGAGAAAGAGCUUUUAAAGAGAGCCAGUGACACUCACAGAUGUUGUUGUGAACUUUAUUGAGGAGGAGUGAAAACACUGAGUCCUUCGCAGAGGAAUGUGUACAGAGAAGUGAUGCUAGAAAACUGAAGGAAUGUGAUCUGUGUGGCAGGAGGCGGAAGAAGAGAGAUGGAUGAUGAGCAGAGAGGCCCUUGCUCAGGGGAGAAAUAGAACCAUGACAUUCUUACAACUGGUGAAUCAGAGGCCUUUCUUCACAUGUUGGCUGAGGUAUCUCAUAGUCAUCUCUGUUUUCACUUAUUUUUUAUCCUCCUAUCCUAUUAGUUUCAUAUUUCUCAGAGGAAGAUGUUUUCUUCCUU
This is a long non-coding RNA of Carlito syrichta (Philippine tarsier), 403 nucleotides long. RefSeq lists it as uncharacterized. Lineage: Eukaryota; Metazoa; Chordata; Mammalia; Primates; Tarsiidae. The transcript has 3 exons. The record is from RefSeq and is a predicted model, not a curated record.